This is a long non-coding RNA of Melanaphis sacchari, 763 nucleotides long. RefSeq lists it as uncharacterized. The record is from RefSeq and is a predicted model, not a curated record. Lineage: Eukaryota; Metazoa; Arthropoda; Insecta; Hemiptera; Aphididae. The transcript has 4 exons.
AAAUUUUUAUUUUGUACCUAUUGAUUUCUGCUUAAUAUCAAGUGUAAGAACAUUUCAAUUAAAUGUGUUCAACGUACUUCCCCUUCAAAUCUCAACCCAGUGAAUUUGUAUACCAACAUCAACAUUUUCGUCUUUGUUAGUAAAUAAUUUCAUUGUACCAAGGGGUUAUAGUAGUAGAAAGUCAAAUAAGGAGAUCACCAUAUUUUUUUACAAAUACCAUCUGUGUGAAAAAGCAUAGUGGACUCCGUGACUGAUGUUCUCUUAUUGUUCCUCUUAAUGUAAUAUAACAAAAACUUUAGCCACAGCAACGCGUGGCCGGGUCAGAUAGUGUGUAUAUAAAACAUAUUCAACAUUGUAAGAGAAUACUGGACGCCAAGUAGACCAUCGCUGCUCAAUCAAUUUUAUAAUAUUUACUUAACACAAACAUAGAAAUAAAGCACACCUUCAGCAUUGAACACAACAAGGCGUUCUUAUUUCUACAAGACGGUAGCCCACCCAGUGUGGAUACUGUCUUAUGUUCAACUUAGACGAAUAAUAAAUGUUUAAUAUACCAUAUUAUUAUAUAUAGAUACGUUUGGAUUUAAAAAUUAUAUUAUCGCAAUGACAUUUGAGGAUCGUCAAACAUUUUUAAAUCAUGCAAAAGCCAAACUUCAACAAUCUAAAACAACAACAAGUACUCAUAUUGCAGAGUCUACUAGUGAAAUAAAAGACGGAACAGAUGUUCCAGAUUAUAUAUGGAAAUACUACGAUAAAAUAAUACAAG